Molecule: long non-coding RNA, 650 nt
Organism: Macaca mulatta (Rhesus monkey)
Lineage: Eukaryota; Metazoa; Chordata; Mammalia; Primates; Cercopithecidae
Source: RefSeq, a predicted model, not a curated record
CGGCCCCAGCCUUGAGCUCAGCCCACAGAGCCUCCCGGUCUCCUGUGAGGACACAGCAGGGAACCCAGCCAGUCCCGCCUGCAGGAUAGGCAGCCAAUGACAGGAGACCAGAGCCUGACACAGAGGACUCAGGCCUGGCAAAGAGGAGAGGUGGGCAGCCCGGCACUAGUAGCUACUAAGCCCCUCUGUGGUCAAGAGGAGGCUGAGCCAUCUUGAUCCAACUGCCCUUGGGCCCCCACAGCCCAGGAUUGCAGAGGGCUCUCGGUGUCACCAUCUGAGAGGUCAGGCUAAGUCACUCCUCCUCCUGCCCGGGGCAUUGUGAUGCUCUAACCAGAGUGAGCAGGGGCCUUUGGCCACCCAGUAUCAGUUUGACCUCUGAAGACCUGGAGAGUGAGUAACUGAGGUCAGCCACACAAGUAGUCCAUGCUUUCAUCACUGACCUCCAAUAAAAACACUGGACACCAAGACUCAGUCUUGCUCCAUCACCCAGGCUGGAAGACAGUGGCAUGAACACAGCUCACCGCAACCUCGAUCUCCUGGGGCUCAAGUGAUCAUCUGGCCUCAACCUUCUGCGUGGCCAGGACUACAGGUGCACGCCACCGCGCCUGCGUAACUUUUAAAUGUUUUCUUAGAGACCACAUCUGACUGCG